GAGUAAUGUCUGGGAAACUGCCUGAUGGAGGGGGAUAACUACUGGAAACGGUAGCUAAUACCGCAUAACGUCGCAAGACCAAAGAGGGGGACCUUCGGGCCUCUUGCCAUCGGAUGUGCCCAGAUGGGAUUAGCUAGUAGGUGGGGUAAAGGCUCACCUAGGCGACGAUCCCUAGCUGGUCUGAGAGGAUGACCAGCCACACUGGAACUGAGACACGGUCCAGACUCCUACGGGAGGCAGCAGUGGGGAAUAUUGCACAAUGGGCGCAAGCCUGAUGCAGCCAUGCCGCGUGUAUGAAGAAGGCCUUCGGGUUGUAAAGUACUUUCAGCGGGGAGGAAGGGAGUAAAGUUAAUACCUUUGCUCAUUGACGUUACCCGCAGAAGAAGCACCGGCUAACUCCGUGCCAGCAGCCGCGGUAAUACGGAGGGUGCAAGCGUUAAUCGGAAUUACUGGGCGUAAAGCGCACGCAGGCGGUUUGUUAAGUCAGA
RNAcentral lists this ribosomal RNA (488 nucleotides) under Escherichia coli. RNAcentral describes it as "bacterial SSU rRNA". It matches the Rfam family "Bacterial small subunit ribosomal RNA", at positions 108 to 592 of the family's 1533-position model. The record is from RNAcentral. Lineage: Bacteria; Pseudomonadati; Pseudomonadota; Gammaproteobacteria; Enterobacterales; Enterobacteriaceae.